RNAcentral lists this ribosomal RNA (454 nucleotides) under uncultured bacterium. RNAcentral's name for it is "partial 16S ribosomal RNA". It matches the Rfam family "Bacterial small subunit ribosomal RNA", at positions 28 to 507 of the family's 1533-position model. The record is from RNAcentral.
GAUGAACGCUGACAGAAUGCUUAACACAUGCAAGUCUACUUGAACUUCGGUUUGGGUGGCGGACGGGUGAGUAACGCGUAAAGAACUUGCCUCACAGAUAGGGACAACAUUUGGAAACGAAUGCUAAUACCUGAUAUUAUGAUUUUAGGGCAUCCUAGAAUUAUGAAAGCUAUAUGCACUGUGAGAGAGCUUUGCGUCCCAUUAGCUAGUUGGAGAGGUAACGGCUCACCAAGGCGAUGAUGGGUAGCCGGCCUGAGAGGGUGAUCGGCCACAAGGGGACUGAGACACGGCCCUUACUCCUACGGGAGGCAGCAGUGGGGAAUAUUGGACAAGGGACCAAGAGUCUGAUCCAGCAAUUCUGUGUGCACGAUGAAGUUUUUCGGAAUGUAAAGUGCUUUCAGUUGGGAAGAAAAAAAUGACGGUACCAACAGAAGAAGUGACGGCUAAAUACGUG